Molecule: ribosomal RNA, 292 nt
Filed under: uncultured bacterium
Lineage: Bacteria
Description: partial 16S ribosomal RNA
Rfam family: Bacterial small subunit ribosomal RNA
Source: RNAcentral
GUGCCAGCAGCCGCGGUAAGACGUAGGGCGCGAGCGUUGUCCGGAUUUAUUGGGCGUAAAGAGCUCGUAGGCGGCUUGUCGCGUCGUCUGUGAAAUCCCGCGGCUCAACUGCGGGUCUGCAGGCGAUACGGGCAGGCUAGAGUUCGGUAGGGGAGACUGGAAUUCCUGGUGUAGCGGUGAAAUGCGCAGAUAUCAGGAGGAACACCGGUGGCGAAGGCGGGUCUCUGGGCCGAUACUGACGCUGAGGAGCGAAAGCGUGGGGAGCGAACAGGAUUAGAAACCCUCGUAGUCC